GCCUGGCUGGCUCAUUCAGUAGAGCAUGCUGACUCUUGAUCUCAAGGUCGUGAGUUCAAGCCCCAUGUUGGGCA
This 74-nucleotide transfer RNA is filed under the name Felis catus (domestic cat). It matches the Rfam family "tRNA". From Rfam's summary of the family: Transfer RNA (tRNA) molecules are approximately 80 nucleotides in length. Their secondary structure includes four short double-helical elements and three loops (D, anti-codon, and T loops). Further hydrogen bonds mediate the characteristic L-shaped molecular structure. tRNAs have two regions of fundamental functional importance: the anti-codon, which is responsible for specific mRNA codon recognition, and the 3' end, to which the tRNAs corresponding amino acid is attached (by aminoacyl-tRNA synthetases). tRNAs cope with the degeneracy of the genetic code in two manners: having more than one tRNA (with a specific anti-codon) for a particular amino acid; and 'wobble' base-pairing, i.e. permitting non-standard base-pairing at the 3rd anti-codon position. Lineage: Eukaryota; Metazoa; Chordata; Mammalia; Carnivora; Felidae. The record is from Rfam by way of RNAcentral.